AUGGCUAACGAUUGUGCAGUGACUUGGAAGUCAAUAUUGCACAAACAUAUAUACAGUCAUGACUCAUGAAUAUUGCCCCUGAAUGCAAGUUAAGCUUACAUUUUUGUUUGUGUUCAACGAGUAUAAAUUGACAGAAAAGAACUCACAUCUUUGAAAUAUCAAACAUGUUAAUGAUUCAUUUACUACAGUGUUGAACGACCGUAGUAUUUGGUCACAAAUAAUUUUGUCAUGUAAUUAACAGAUUAUUGGUUUGUAUAAUUUCCAGAUUAUAUUUCUCGGAGUAUCCCAGAUUCAGUUGUGUUGUAUCUAGUAUAUAUUUUCGAUUGUGAUAAUGGAAAAGGGAGCCUUUCAAUUGUUUUCAAAAAGCAUCAUAUAUCUAUAUAUAUUAAUAAAUGAGAUGAUUUGGGCUAUUUGUCUUUGAAUGGUGGAACCAUUUUGCUUAUGUGGCAUCCAUUGGUUGAGGAGAGUGUGAUUUUGAGAGAGAAUUCAUUCUCAAAGCUCAAUACACAAACAAACAAACAUUAGACGCGGGAUCCGUUUUGAUUUCGGGUUAUCUUAUACCCGUUCAUUCGGAUCUAUAUAAAAGGCACUACCCAGUAAUUCAGACCACUUUCUUUCCUAUUCCUUCUAAACCCUAGCCAACAACUUCAUCGUAUUCUUCGUUCUUCUUUGCCGAUCUGCCCUCUCAAUUCGAAAAUGAAGAUUAGCAUCAGUCUUGAUGUAAACUCAAUUCGAAGAUGCCUUCAUCAUAUUUCUGAUUGCUGUUGUUGUUUGUUGAUUUGAUUGAAGAAGAAUGAAGGUGUGUUUGUGUGACGGCUGAAUCUGAUGAAGGUGUGUUGUUGUUUGUUGAUUUGACAGUGGUCGGAGAUGAAGGGGAUUCAUCAAUCUUAAUCACAGCAAAUCUACAAAUGGGUUGGCACUUUUGGGAAAAGUAGCCACUUAUGCAUUGAAUCUAACUGGUUUCUUUUAUUGUCAAGCAAUCCCAAAUUCACUGUCCAAUGAGCCAUUAGACCUUUCGAGGGAUGAUGAUGGUGACAUGUACAGUUUCCAAACGAAAGAUAAAGAUGCUGACGUCAGUUUCAGGCCUCCUAAAUAUCAAACAGGGGUCUUAAAAACAAACUGCAUCGAUUGUUUGGAUCGUAAAAAUGUUGCUCAGUUUGCAUACGGUUGGGCUGCACUUGGUCGCCAAUUGCAUACUAUAGGUUAUAUAGAUACCCCUGAUAUCGAACUAGAUUCCGCUUUAGCAGAUGAUUUAAUGAGAAUUUAUGAAAAAAUGGGUGACACUCUAGCACUACAAUAUGGUGGUUCUGCAGCUCACAAUAAGAGGGUGAUUUUGGGAGGGAAUCAUUCUAAAUACACGGAGGUCCAUGAUUUAUGUGAGUUUUAUGUUGUAAAGACGAAGUUAGCGCAGAAUGCAUUCUGCUCAUGGGUGAGGGCGUACAGCACGCAUCGCGGGGAGUUGAAGAGUAUAUGCAUGGUGAAAAAGCUUCAUUUGGGACACGUGGCGAAAAGUUUUGCACUGAAGGAGCAGCCGUCACUGGUGGGGAGAUGGGUUUAGAAGAAGCACACAGAAAAGAGGAAAAGAACACAGGAAAGUAAAAGAAGGUUUGAAAAAGAAGAGAAAGAUGGCAAACCUGGAGGAGGGAGAUUGAGUUAGCAAAUGAACGGUGAAAGAUGAUUGAUGGUGAAGGUGCAAAUUGCAAGCAAGCAGCUGGCUGGAAGGAGAAUAGAAUGAAUGGUUUGACAACCACCAAAACAAAUGGGUUUUGGUCUCUUUAAAACGAGUCAACGUGAAUCACAAGUUGCUAUAUGGUGAUAUUAAUUCAGAUUCUCAGCCCCAACAUAAUCCCAACAGCAAGUGGUAUAUCAGCCUUGAGAAUGGCCUGAAGAAAAACACCCCCCAUGGGCUUACGGGGUGGGUUAUGCUGUGAACCAUGACAUUGCAAAGGCGAUUAACAAUAACACAAAAGGGUGACCUAUAGGCUUUAAGCUGGAUGAUGUGAUAAUGGGAAUCUGGACUGCGAAUUUACAAAAGAAUUGUUUAGAAGUAUGAUAUGAAAAAGAACAAGUGUAUAAUGAAACAGAUGGGUAUGUAGUUGCACACUAUCAAGGACCUCGAUAAAUGUUGUGUGCAUGGCAAAAGCUUCAAGUAGAUAACCAAGCUUUUUGUUGUGGGAACUAAUAGAUUCUUAAGAAUAACACGAAUGUUGUGUUGUAUCAUUUGUAACUAGAUAGGUACUUUUACUGAUUAUGCAGACUAUUACACUUGAAUUUGUUUUCAAAACUAAUACCAAGUGCACACAUGGGUUGCUGUUGGUUCAAUUAAUCACAUGUCUCCAUUCUUAAUAAACAGAUGAAGUAGUCGUGUUGUGCACCGAUUCGAAUCUAUUGAACUGGCGUGUAACCUUAUUAGUUUUAAAACUAAAAUCAAAGUAUAAAAAUAAAAAAGUUAUAAAAAUACAUAAU
RNAcentral lists this long non-coding RNA (2466 nucleotides) under Helianthus annuus (common sunflower). The record is from RNAcentral. Lineage: Eukaryota; Viridiplantae; Streptophyta; Magnoliopsida; Asterales; Asteraceae.